RNAcentral lists this ribosomal RNA (678 nucleotides) under uncultured bacterium. Its description in RNAcentral is "bacterial SSU rRNA". It matches the Rfam family "Bacterial small subunit ribosomal RNA", at positions 8 to 680 of the family's 1533-position model. The record is from RNAcentral.
AGAGUUUGAUCCUGGCUCAGAUUGAACGCUGGCGGCAUGCCUUACACAUGCAAGUCGAACGGUAACGCGGGGCAACCUGGCGACGAGUGGCGAACGGGUGAGUAAUGCAUCGGAACGUGCCCAGUAGUGGGGGAUAGCCCGGCGAAAGCCGGAUUAAUACCGCAUACGACCUACGGGUGAAAGCGGGGGACCGUAAGGCCCCGCGCUAUUGGAGCGGCCGAUGUCAGAUUAGCUAGUUGGUGGGGUAAAAGCCUACCAAGGCGACGAUCUGUAGCUGGUCUGAGAGGACGACCAGCCACACUGGGACUGAGACACGGCCCAGACUCCUACGGGAGGCAGCAGUGGGGAAUUUUGGACAAUGGGGGCAACCCUGAUCCAGCCAUGCCGCGUGCGGGAAGAAGGCCUUCGGGUUGUAAACCGCUUUUGUCGGGGAAGAAACGGUCUGCGCUAAUACCGCGGGCUAAUGACGGUACCCGAAGAAUAAGCACCGGCUAACUACGUGCCAGCAGCCCGCGGUAAUACGUAGGGUGCAAGCGUUAAUCGGAAUUACUGGGCGUAAAGCGUGCGCAGGCGGCUUUGCAAGACAGAUGUGAAAUCCCCGGGCUUAACCUGGGAACUGCAUUUGUGACUGCAUGGCUGGAGUGCGGCAAAGGGGGGAUGGAAUUCCCCGUGUUAGCA